UGCCAGCCGCCGCGGUAAUACGAAGGGACCUAGCGUAGUUCGGAAUUACAGGGCUUAAAGAGCUCGUAGGUGGUUAAAAAAGUUGGUGGUGAAAUCCCAGAGCUUAACUCUGGAACUGCCAUCAAAACUUUUUAGCUAGAGUAUGAUAGAGGAAAGCAGAAUUUCUAGUGUAGAGGUGAAAUUCGUAGAUAUUAGAAAGAAUACCGAUUGCGAAGGCAGCUUUCUGGAUCAUUACUGACACUGAGGAACGAAAGCAUGGGUAGCGAACAGGAUUAGAUA
RNAcentral lists this ribosomal RNA (279 nucleotides) under uncultured bacterium. RNAcentral's name for it is "partial 16S ribosomal RNA". It matches the Rfam family "Bacterial small subunit ribosomal RNA", at positions 506 to 784 of the family's 1533-position model. The record is from RNAcentral.